This 22-nucleotide unclassified non-coding RNA is filed under the name Mus musculus (house mouse). RNAcentral's name for it is "oocyte_clustered_small_RNA11992". The record is from RNAcentral. Lineage: Eukaryota; Metazoa; Chordata; Mammalia; Rodentia; Muridae.
AUGGCAGCGCAAGAUGGAUCAA